This 74-nucleotide transfer RNA is filed under the name Mesorhizobium sp. L2C054A000. RNAcentral describes it as "tRNA-Ser". Lineage: Bacteria; Pseudomonadati; Pseudomonadota; Alphaproteobacteria; Hyphomicrobiales; Phyllobacteriaceae. The record is from RNAcentral.
AGGUGCUUAGGAAAAGCGGCCAAAACGGACUUUUAAUCAGUAGGUCUCGGGUUCGAACCCCGACGCGCUCACCA